UACGAAGGGGGCUAGCGUUGCUCGGAAUUACUGGGCGUAAGGCGCACGUAGGCGGCUUGUUAAGUCGGAGGUGAAAUCCUGGAGCUCAACUCCAGAACUGCCUUCGAUACUGGCGAGCUUGAGUUCGGGAGAGGUGAGUGGAACUGCGAGUGUAGAGGUGAAACUCGUAGAUAUUCGCAAGAACACCAGUGGCGAAGGCGGCUCACUGGCCCGAUACUGACGCUGAGGUGCGAAAGCGUGGGGAGCAAACAGG
Molecule: ribosomal RNA, 253 nt
Filed under: uncultured bacterium
Lineage: Bacteria
Description: partial 16S ribosomal RNA
Rfam family: Bacterial small subunit ribosomal RNA
Source: RNAcentral